Molecule: ribosomal RNA, 468 nt
Filed under: uncultured bacterium
Lineage: Bacteria
Description: partial 16S ribosomal RNA
Rfam family: Bacterial small subunit ribosomal RNA
Source: RNAcentral
GACGAACGCUGGCGGCGUGCUUAACACAUGCAAGUCGAACGGAAAGGCCCUGCUUUUGUGGGGUGCUGGAGUGGCGAACGGGUGAGUAACACGUGAGUAACCUGCCCUUGACUUUGGGAUAACUUCAGGAAACUGGGGCUAAUACCGGAUAGGUGCUCCUGCUGCAUGGUGGGGGUUGGAAUGUUUCGGCGGUUGGGGAUGUACUUGAGUCUUAUGAGCUCGUUGGUGGGGUAGUGGCUUACCAGGGCUUUGACAGGUAGCCGGCCUGAGAGGGUGACCGGCCACAUUGGGACUGAGCUACGGCCCAGACUCCUACGGGAGGCAGCAGUGGGGAAUAUUGCACAAUGGGCGGAAGCCUGAUGCAGCAACGCCGCGUGCGGGAUGACGGCCUUCGGGUUGUAAACCGCUUUCGCCUGUGACGAAGCGUGAGUGACGGUAAUGGGUAAAGAAGCACCGGCUAACUACGUG